UUUGCAUCUAAGCAAGUUGCGUCAUCAAACUGUACCAAAACAAAUAUGAAUAUUGUCAAAGUAAUUUACCUAAUCACUUUCAUUUAUGGAUUGUUUGCACAAAAAAUACCAGCUGGAUCCUGCGUUUCCAAGAUUAGAAAUGGGAAACUUGUCCAAGUUGGAGAUUGCCAGCAAAACGAUGAAUCUGAUAUCGCCAGACUGAUCAAAAAGAGUCUCGAUGACAAGAAACAAAGUAAUUUGUCCUAUGUUUUUAUGAUUUAAUAUAAUAUCUGUCACACUCUUCAAAACAUAACGAAUGAAUUUUCAUUGCACGAUUUGAAUAUAGAUUUGACUUUGAAUAUAUAUAUUUGAAGAAUCGGAUCCUCAGUCGUCGCUGGGUCAUUAAGAAUCCACAAGAUGUCUGAAAUUGUUUGCUAUACUCGCCUCCGGAAAUAAGUUGUUUUGUUUCUGUCGUAUGAUC
Styela clava is the source of this 460-nucleotide non-coding RNA. Lineage: Eukaryota; Metazoa; Chordata; Ascidiacea; Stolidobranchia; Styelidae. The record is from RefSeq and is a predicted model, not a curated record.